Molecule: ribosomal RNA, 316 nt
Filed under: Lamproderma sauteri
Lineage: Eukaryota; Evosea; Eumycetozoa; Stemonitida; Stemonitidae
Description: SSU rRNA
Rfam family: Eukaryotic small subunit ribosomal RNA
Source: RNAcentral
UCUGAAUCUGCGAACGGCUCCGCAAACCAGUUGUAAACUAUAGCAAGCAAGCUCAGGGCUGGCCUUCACUGGCCGGCUCGGGGCGAUAUGGAUAACCCUGGUAAUUCUGAGGCUAAUACAAGAGUGUAAACCUUGGAGGACCGGCUUCGGCUGGGAAUCUGGGGGAUGUGCGAUUGCAGGCUUGGUAACACCGGGAAAGGGCGCACGUUCAGAUCACGCUAAAAAGGUCGGGCUCCUUCGGGGGCCUGCCCCAGUGACUCUUGCUGUGUGCUUCUGACCUAUCAACUAGACGGCAGCGUAAGGGACAUGCUAUGGU